GACGAACGCUGGCGGCGUGCUUAACACAUGCAAGUCGAACGGUGAAGCGCCUUCCUUUUUGGUGGGUGUGGAUGAGUGGCGAACGGGUGAGUAACACGUGAGUAACCUGCCCCCUUCUUCUGGAUAACCGCAUGAAAGUGUGGCUAAUACGGGAUAUUCUGGGUCUGUCGCAUGAUGGGUCUGGGAAAGAUAUUGUUUCGGUGGGGGAUGGGCUCGCGGCCUAUCAGCUUGUUGGUGGGGUGAUGGCCUACCAAGGCGGUGACGGGUAGCCGGCCUGAGAGGGUGGACGGUCACACUGGGACUGAGACACGGCCCAGACUCCUACGAGAGGCAGCAGUGGGGAAUAUUGCACAAUGGGCGCAAGCCUGAUGCAGCGACGCCGCGUGAGGGAUGGAGGCCUUCGGGUUGUGAACCUCUUUCGCCAGUGAAGCAGGCCUGCCUCGUUUGUGGGUGGGUUGACGGUAUCUGGAUAAGAAGCGCCGGCUAACUACGUG
Molecule: ribosomal RNA, 494 nt
Filed under: uncultured bacterium
Lineage: Bacteria
Description: partial 16S ribosomal RNA
Rfam family: Bacterial small subunit ribosomal RNA
Source: RNAcentral